Molecule: microRNA, 19 nt
Filed under: Tribolium castaneum (red flour beetle)
Lineage: Eukaryota; Metazoa; Arthropoda; Insecta; Coleoptera; Tenebrionidae
Description: tca-miR-2-3-5p
Gene: tca-miR-2-3-5p
Source: miRBase by way of RNAcentral
CUUAUCAGAGUUGGCGGUU